ACGAGAAAGGGAGCAAUCCUGAGUAAAGUGGCGUACGGGUGAGUAACACGUGGAUCAUCUACCUUUUAGUGGGGAAUACCUCCGGGAAACUGGAGACAAUACCGCAUAAUCUCGCGAGAGGAAAGCAGCAAUGCGCUGAAAGAGGAGUCCGCGGCCGAUUAGCUAGUUGGUGAGGUAACGGCCCACCAAGGCGAAGAUCGGUAGCCGGCCUGAGAGGGCACACGGCCACACUGGCACUGAAAUACGGGCCAGACUCCUACGGGAGGCAGCAGUGGGGGAUCUUGCACAAUGGAGGAAACUCUGAUGCAGCGACGCCGCGUGAGCGAUGAAGCCCUUCGGGGUGUAAAGCUCUUUCGACAGGAACGAUAAUGACGGUACCUGGAGAAGAAGCUGCGGCUAACUACGUGCCAGCAGCCGCGGUAAUACGUAGGCAGCAAGCGUUGUUCGGAAUUACUGGGCGUAAAGAGUGUGUAGGCGGUGCUCUAAGUCUGGUGUGAAAUCUCCCGGCUCAACUGGGAGGGUGCGCCGGAAACUGGAGUGCUCGAGGAUGGGAGAGGUAAGCGGAAUUCCUGGUGUAGCGGUGAAAUGCGUAGAUAUCAGGAGGAACACCUGCGGUGUAGACAGCUUACUGGACCAUUUCUGACGCUGAGACACGAAAGCGUGGGUAGCAAACAGGAUUAGAUACCCUGGUAGUCCACGCCCUAAACGAUGCAUACUUGGUGUGAGCCAUUCAUUUGGUUCGUGCCGGAACUAACGCCGUAAGUAUGC
This 768-nucleotide ribosomal RNA is filed under the name uncultured bacterium. RNAcentral describes it as "bacterial SSU rRNA". It matches the Rfam family "Bacterial small subunit ribosomal RNA", at positions 66 to 869 of the family's 1533-position model. The record is from RNAcentral.